This 465-nucleotide ribosomal RNA is filed under the name uncultured bacterium. RNAcentral describes it as "bacterial SSU rRNA". It matches the Rfam family "Bacterial small subunit ribosomal RNA", at positions 29 to 526 of the family's 1533-position model. The record is from RNAcentral.
AACGAACGUUGGCGGCGUGGAUUAGGCAUGCAAGUCGGGGGAAUCCCAGCAAUGGGGGAACCGGCGUAAGGGGCAGUAAGGCGUGGGUAUCUACCCUGGGGUUCGGGAUAGCCAUCAGAGAUGGUGGGUAAUACCGGAUGACCUGGUGACAGCAAAGAUUUAUCGCCCUGGGAGGGGCCCACGUGAUAUUAGCUAGUUGGUGAGGUAACGGCUCACCAAGGCGAAGAUGUCUAGCGGGUGUGAGAGCACGACCCGCGCCACUCGCACUGAGACACUGGCGAGACACCUACGGGUGGCUGCAGUCGAGGAUCUUCGGCAAUGGGCGCAAGCCUGACCGAGCGACGCCGCGUGCGCGAUGAAGGCCUUCGGGUUGUAAAGCGCUUUAGUGGGGGAGAAAAGCCGAAAGGUUUGAUCUAACCCAAAAAUAAGCACGGGCUAAGUUCGUGCCAGCCGCCGCCGUAACAC